This 243-nucleotide long non-coding RNA is filed under the name Setaria italica (foxtail millet). RNAcentral describes it as "long non-coding RNA (SITA_LNC007465)". Lineage: Eukaryota; Viridiplantae; Streptophyta; Magnoliopsida; Poales; Poaceae. The record is from RNAcentral.
AAAUGAUAUGGGAGCAGAUAAAAGAAAACUUCACAUUCACAGGUGCAAAUGAAGCCGCCGUGAAAGAUUGGGGCUUUAGCAAGGAUGAAAUUGGUUUUUCAGAUGUACAAGAAGAACCUGAACAAAGACAACAUAAAGAAAGGCCUUACACCAGAUUUCACAAAGCACCCGAAGUUAAAAGAUCACUGGGGAUUCAUUUGUGCAGUACAAGCAGUCGCAAAAGAGCACUAAGGCAACUAAAAC